This is a long non-coding RNA of Homo sapiens (human), 11778 nucleotides long. RefSeq annotates it as SCUBE3 antisense RNA 1. The transcript has 3 exons. NCBI's taxonomy places the organism in Eukaryota, Metazoa, Chordata, Mammalia, Primates, Hominidae. The record is from RefSeq and is a predicted model, not a curated record.
AACUCCUGACCUCAUGUGAUCCACCCGCCUCGGCCUCCCAAAGUGCUGGGAUGACAGGCGUGAACCACCACACGCAGCCUAUCUGCUGCUGCUUAAUGAGGCCUGGGGAGAGAAUAGGGGAAGGAAGGGACUUAUGCAAAAGUAUCUUUCUAUACUUCACUUUCCCUAUGUCUCUUGGAAGAGGUAGGGACAUUUCUUCUCCUCACUUUCCCUUUCUCUUCCAAGUUUUCCCCAAGGUGUAAUAUAGUGUGGGUGACGCUGCAGUCGGAUAGGCUUGGGCUCAAAUCCCAGCUUCCCAUGGGGCAGGUUCUUUAACUCUCUAUACCCCAGUUUUCCCAUCUGUAAAGAAGCAAUGGAGAAAGCACCUACCUCAUAGAGCUAUUGUGUCUAUCAAGUGAGAAUAUUCAUGUAAGCACUUAGCCUAUUGCCUAUAUAUUGUUACAUGCUUAUUAAAUGUUAGCUAUCAUUAUUGUUAAUAUUCAUUCACCUUUAAAAUCUCCUGGUGGUUUUCAGAGGCAUAGAGCCGGCCAUCUCGCACAAUGUCUUCUACCAGCUGCUCAUAGUCCUCUGCAAAGUCAACCAAGACGCUGAGCACAGUGCCAAACCUAUAUAGAAACUCAUUUGGGAUAUGGAGGAGAAUAUGCCACCAGUUCUCCAAAGUGGAGGGGUGAAGCCAUGCCUCCCUUUCCCUCACCUGUGUAAACUGGGUAUGAAGACAGAGGACACCAGGAAAGAAGCCAGAGAAAGAGGAACAGUGAUGAAGGUAAGGAUGGAGAUUGGUCACAUUGGUCGGAUAGGUAACUGGGGGUUGCAGCUGGUUGCAAUGAGCAGCCAGGGAAUGUAGGAACCUGGGAAGUGGCUCUGGGUGCAGGCAGAGCUAUGGCCAUGGUGCUGAGGUUGGAGGGGCAGGGUGGGGAAAGGCAGCUGAGCCUCACCUCCUUGUGGAGCAGGGACCAUUUCUGUGGACAGGCCACAGCCCUGUCCUUCCUCCCCUCCCCCCUGUGCCUGGGCUUGCUGCCAUAUUCCCUAGCCUUUCUCCUAUUUUGGCUUAACAAAACAAAGUCUGACAACUUGGCGGGGAGGGAUCUGGGGAGAGCUGCCAGGCCACACCCUAGAUGGUGGGGGUGGGGGGCAGGGAGAACAGUAGGCUCUCACCCCCAAAUCACCACCCCUAGGUUCUAGAGCCAAGCUCACCCUGGAGCCCCCAAUUCAACACCUUGAUUCCAUCUCUAUGCUAGCUACUGCCCUCCCAAGUCCAUGGCCCUUCUCAGUUUGCCUUGGCCCAGGAGGCAUCACGUAGAUUGGUUGUCAAAUGGAGCAGCUAGAAUCUGGGCUCCUGAGGGCUUCAUCUGCCCCUCUCUUCCCAUCCUCUCUGCUGAGAUCCUGCAACCUUCUCUUCCCCUUCUGGCCAGGGCAGAGAGGCCCAGAUCCAGCUGGCUCUUGCCCAAGAGAUGCACCUGUUGGAAGAGCUAAGGUGUACUUUCCUGUGCUUUGCUCCUGUCUCUACCCUGUCUUUUGCUGUUCUCUUGACUUCUCCCCAUCCCUGUCUUCCUGCUCUUGCCACAUUCUACAUGCCAUCCUUCUGUCUGCUCCCUUACUAUCUAACCUUGUGGCUUUGCUACUCUAGCCAAGCUCUUUCCUCCAAUUCUCAGUGGGGAAGCUAAGGCCCAGAGCAUGGACAACUUUCUCAAAAUUCCCCUAAGAGCCAAAGGUAGUAUUGAGACUUUGAACCCUAACCCUAGGUAAUCUUUGUCCCUUGACCCUCUCUAUACCUAAUCAUUCUCUUGUCCCUCUGGUUGGUUCUCCCCAAAACACUUAUAGGGAAAUGAGAUGUGGUGACAAUCAGGGGCCUAGAAAAGUCAAAGGCAGCCAAAGAACUCAGAAGCUUAUGUGCAUGUCCUGUAGGCAACUCACUGUCCUGGUCUAAGUGCCACAGCUUCCCUUCCCAAAGGAGUUUCAUAAGAGGCCCUCAAGGGUGACUGGGCAGAUAUGAGGCCCUUCCCUGGAAGCUAAAAUGGUAGGAGAGGUGACCAGGGCUGGGAUUAAGGGCCCAGCAGAUAUCAGGGUUUGGAGGCCAGGGUUGGGUGUAGAAACCUAUAGCCUGGGUCCAAUGAUGGGUUAUGACUAGGUUUGGAGGCAGCUCUGCAGUAAGGAGGCUCUUCUCAGCCAAUAGGACUUAAGAGAAUUCAUCUAUUUGGUCAAUUGGUGGGUGAGGACCAGCCCAGCCUGCUUUUCUGGGCAUCAUUCCUUUUGUUUCUCUUCCUUUCCUGGUCCUUUAUGCUUCUAGUGCCUGUUUUCUGUUGUGGCUACAGGGUGAAGUAAUUUGGGAGAAGGCCCUGGGUUCAAAUUUCAAAUCCUUUUCUGCUAUGAGCUUCAGAUUUUCUGCUUGGGGAAGAGUCUGACUUGGUCCCAGUAAUUUUCCAAAAUGACAGAGACCAAAGUUGAGUUCAGUUCCUUAGAGAUUCUCUUAUCUCUGAUCCAGCUCCUGGGACAAAGGAGAUCAGUGAGGAGAGGGUGAGACUGGAGAUUGCAGGAAGAACUGGGAGAAAACAAGCCUGUAAGGGUCAGAGGCUUCCUGGGGCAUAGGGAUGCACUGUCGUCAUCAUCAAAAACAUUCUUCCCAUUACUGAGCUCCUACCAUGUGCUAAGGAUUGUACAGGGCUCUUUUCAUAUGUUGUCUUGUGGUGAUCCGCACAGCAGCCUUCAAGUGGGUUAUUACCACCCCAUUCUAUUUUAUUGUUAUUUUUUGAGAUAAGAUUGCUCGAUCUGGAGCGCAGUGACACAAUCACAGCUAACUGCAGCCUCGACUUCCUAGGCUCAAGCCAAGGAAGAGCUCCCAAGUAGCUGGGGACUACAGGUAUGCACCAUCAUGACUGACUAAUUUUUAUUAUUAUUAUUUUUUGUAGAAACAGGGUCUCACUAUGUUGCCCAGGCCUGUCUUGAACUCCUGGGCUCUAGCAGUCCCUCUGCCUCGGCCUCCCAAAGUGCUGGGAUUACAGGUGUGAGCUACCACACCUGGUCCCACCCCCAUUUUAGAGAGGAGAAAGAUGAGAUUUCCAGAGAUUGGCUGAUUUGCCCAAGACCCAAGGCUAGUAAGCAGCAGAACCAAGAUAUCUGUGUGGAGCCAAAUCAGCUUCCUACCAUGCCUCACCACUGGCUAAACCCACUAUUCCCAUCUCCUGGCCCUUGCCCUAGGAGCAUUUCGUAGCAGCUUUUCCUCUAAUGUUUUUCAUCCAGCAGGAUUUUUCAUCCUAAGUGGCCAGUCUCAAAGGGGAGGCUGACCUUAUUCUCUUGUGAAUGUAGCUCUUCUUGAUCACUCUCUCCUCCUUCCCUGGGAAAUAGGAAAUGCUGAAAAGAUCUCUUUCUCCACAAGACAUCCCUCCACCAAAUCCCCUCUCCUUUGCUUACCCAGACAGUUGUGUCCGUCAUGUGCCAGGUGGAAUCCAUCAUAGCAGGUACACCGGUAAUUGCCAGGGAUGUUGACACAGUCAUGCACACAACCUGCAUUAUCCUCUCGCUCGCACUCAUCCACGUCUGUGGGCAAAGGGAAGCUGAGACAGCUGAACCCACCUGCGAACCCACUGUCCACCCCCAGACUCAGCCUUAUGGUUGUGUUUACAUAGUUAUGUUCAUGGCCUAUAAGCCAUUUAGCAUUUUUCUGUUUUCAUUUAAACCUAAGUCAUGAACAUUUUCAGGUCUCCAUCCAGUCUUUCUAAUUACCAUUGUACAUGGUUGCAGAAUAUUAUUUUUCUAUUUUUUUCUCUAUUGUUAGAGAUUUAGAUUUCUUUAAUUUAUUUUACCAUCAUAGAUAAUGCAUCAAAGAACAUCUUCUCCCAUGUAUUAUUUUGUUACUUUGAAUAAGUCCCCAAGAGUAAAAUUCCUGGAUCAAAGGAAAUACCUUUUAAGAUUCCUGGUAGGUAUUACAAAAUUACUUUUCAAUUUAUAAUGCAACUAGGAAUUAACAAGUGUACCCUGUCCACUAAAGUCUCACCAACACUGAAGCUCAUAAAUUUAAUAUCUCAAGGCUACUUUAAUUUGCAUUGAUUUAAUUAUGAGGGGAAGAUGUGUUUACAUUAUGAACUUCCUCUGAAGCACACUUUCUGUUCCCAUCCAUUGUGGAUGUGGUGUAAGGGUCUAAAGAUAAAGGUUCCAAUGUCAGGGAACCUCAGGUCUUAGUCUUAUGAUUUUCAUGCUCCCACCCCAGCCAGGUUGUGGGCUGUGAACUGUCCCCACCAGGGCCUCUGCUAGCCUGCAUGGUGCCUUUGUGCAAAUUAGAAAAUGGCACCCUCUCUGGGAAGAUGCAGUUGCCCCCCUCACCACCCCCCCACCACUUGACCAGUGGAAUUUCUAGCCUUGAUGUGAUGGAGAGUGGCCAACUGAGGGCAGUGGCACUGGUUUGCCUUCUUCCACAGGUCCCUCUCCUCCAGGUGCCCUUCCAGCCUCACCUUUGCAGUGUUUGCCGUCCCCUGUGUAGCCAGACUUGCAGAUGCACUUGUAUGACCUCGGGGUGUUCUGGCAGAUAGCAUCGAUGUGGCAGUUGUCAGUCCCCUCCACACACUCAUCCACAUCUGGCAGGGGCAGAGGGGGCACAUGAGAACCUCUGUUGGCACCUCUUAAGGGGUGUCUUGAAGGUGGGCUUCCAAGGGCAGAAUCCCCUCUUCUCUAAAACAGAGGCAGUGACCCCCUCCAGAAACAGGUGCUGUCUCACAUCUCUCUGAUUUCAGAGUAGGCAGACACUGAUUUUGGGAAUUCAGAAGGAACCCCCACUGCCCUCAAAAAUACUAAAUUCACAGUGACAGCUAAAACUCCAUCAUUCGAAACACUCCUUUUUUUAUUUGAAAACAAACAAAAAACCCUUAGAGUGGGUAGUACACUUAACUUGAUUAGGAAUAAUCAACUUAAAGUGAAUGAGUUUACGGAGAAGGCUUAGAGGGAAAGUUAAGGGAAAAGGCAUGGGAACAGUGGUCUCUGGGAAGGUGGCAGGGUCCAGCAAUCACUAGUAAAGGAGGAAGAAAGGGGGAUGGGGCAUCUGAGGGAUCUUCAUCUGUGUCAUGAUUCUGCUUGAGACCAGGCCUGCUUCCACUUGCCCACCAUGGAGCCAAGAAGCUUUAGAGGAAAAAUGUUCCAUCCUGGAUGAUUUUCCUCGGCCCCUGUGCUGCCAACAAUGGAGACAUCCAGAGCUGGCAGAGGUUGGCACCAGCUACCUGAAGCCUAAUAAGUGCAGCCCUUCAGGCCCUAAUCCCCAGUGUUUAGCCCUCUGUCUCCUGGCCCUAGCUCUAACAAUAGGUGCUACACACACAGCUAUACUUGAAGGAAGAGGCCACUCACCAUCUAGCAAAAAAGAGGAUGGUUAGGAAAGGACAUAGAUGAUGCCAGGCGCGGUGGCUCAUGCCUGUAAUCCCAGCACUUUGGGAGGCCAAGGCAGGUGGAUCAUGAGGUCAGGAGUUCGAGACCAGCCUGACCUUGAUGAAACCCCAUCUCUACUAAAAAUACAAAAAUUAGCCAGGUGUGGUGAUGUGUGCCUGUAAUCCCAGCUACUCAGGAGGCUGUGGCAGGAGAAUCGCUUGAACCAGGGAGGCGGAGGUUGCAGUGAGCUGAGAUCGCGCUAAUGCACUCCAGCCUGGGCGACAGUGAGACUCUAUCUCAAAAAAAAAAAAAAAAAAAAAAGGACAUAGAAAAGAGUCCAACUUCUGAGGCAAUAUUAUGGUGCCCUUAAAUCUGAACUGAAAUAGAGAAACAUGUUAUUCAGUUGAAAACGCCUUAUUGAGUGUGUUUGUGAAAGACACUAUAAUGAUAGCUGUGGAGGCUCAAAGGUGACUCAGCCCAGCCAAAAGGAGAAACAAAAAACAUGGAGCAGAAUGUGGUACAUGCCCUGAAGACAUGAGAGAUAAGGUGAGGGGGUCCUCCACCCUGCACAUCAGAGUCAACUCUCCUAGGAGAUGUCCAAGCCACAACCCCAGAGAUUCUGGUCAGAUAGCCUGGACUGGUGCCGGGCCAUCAGUAUUUUUCUAAAGCUCUUCCAGUUAUUCUAAUGUGUAGUCAAGGUUGAGAACCUGUGUUACGGGGCAGAUCAGAGGAGAAAGAGAUUACUUCCAGCUGGAAACUGGGAAACCCAAAAUAGUGUCUUAAGUAGCAGCCUGCAAGUGAGUGAUCACUGAAUGGGAGGCAUUACUCUCCUGUGAUCCCACAACUGAGCACAGAAAGGAGAUGAGAUUUGACACCAAGACAAUUUGAUAUCCAAGUGUGAUCUAUGGGCCAUAGAAUUGCCUAGGUUUUAUUAAAAUGCAGAUUCUCAGGACUCAUUAUAGCCUUUUUGAAUCCAAAUCCUUAAGUGAUUAUUUUUACUGAGUGAAUGGAUGCAUGGACCAGUAUUCUCUCCAAUUUAUAGAUACCCAGAGUCCUAGCUUGAGACAGUUAUCUGUCCUCCGCUUUUAUACUCUGAAACUUCCUGGGGCUAAGAAGAGAACUGAAAUCCCCAAACACCCUGCCUCAAAUCUCACAGGUUUCCGUUCAGCUCUUCAUUCUACCCUUCAACUCCUAUGCAGCCAACCAUCAUACCAGUUGAUUCUAAGUGCUGGGAGCCUCUGUCUACACUUACUCUCCACCUCGCUCAGGCUCCAUAGGCAUGGUGUCUACCUGCUGGCCCAUCCUGGGAAGUCAUCCCAACGUGACAGAAUGGAAAAGAGAGGGCAUGGAAGACUAGUUCAUAGGUAAGGGCAAGAGGGACCUCGCAGAUGGUAAGGUGCUCUGUGGAGAAUCAGUUUGUCCAACUGAUAAACAGAAAACAGUACAAAGAAAUGUGCUAUCACAGAACGAUCUUAAGCACUGGAACCAGUCAGUCCCAGAUUCAAAUCCAGCUCUACCCUUCUCUAGGGAUGGUUUUCUUAUUCUCCAUCUCCUCCCCCUUAAAAUGGGGAUGAUAAUACCUCCUCAUGAGAGGCUGUGAGUAGCUGAUGGGAUAAUUUGUGUAAAUUGGCUAAUAAAGUAUCUGGUAAACAGUAGGGUCCCAAUACAGGAAGCUUGAGAUGGUAUUAAAUCACUGGUCAGGCAAUAGAUGCUCGAGACAGUAUGACAGCCACUAGCCACAUGUGGUUAUUUAAUUUAAAAUUCACUUCCUCAGUUGCACUAGCCACAGGCCAAAUGCGCAAUAGCCACAUGUGGCUAGUGGCUACCAUGGCGGAAAGCAUAGAUAUGGAACAUUUCCAACACCACAGAAAUAGCACUGCUAUUAGCACACCACAGGAUAGCACUGCUCUGGGGUUCUGAAUAAGAGAUACUCCCUGGGUCCAGCAGCACGGAUACUGGUCUGGAACUGCUCCCCUGACCAUAUCAGAGGUAUGUGCCUGUGACUGAAUCAGCUGGUGCUUCACUAGAGACUGUGUCAGACUAUAUGGGCUCCCAAUUCUUUCCUUUGCCUCCCAUUCAGUGCUCACCAGUACUAGAGUGGAUCUUGAUGCUGAUCACCACAAACCCAGGCCUCCCAGCAGAUUCUUUUUUUUUUUUUUUUUUUUUUUUUUGAGAUGAAGUCUCGGUCUGUCACCCAGGCUGGAGUACAGUAGUGGUGUGAUCUCGGCUCACUGCAACCUCUGCCUCCCAGGUUCAAGCUAUUCUUCUGCCUCAGCCUCCUGAGUAUCUGGGAUUACAGGCAUGUGCCACCACACUUGGCUAAUUUUUGUAUUAUUAAUAGAGACAUGGUUUUGCCACAUUGGCCAGGCUGGUCUCGAACUCCUGACCUCAAGUGAUCUGCCCGCCUUAGCCUCCCAAAGUGCUGGGAUUACAGGCGCGAGCCACUACACCUGGCCACAGAUUUUUUAGACCCCUCCUACAGCCAGACUUCUCCCACCAUCUAACUAACCCCUCUCCCUUACCUCCCUGCUCACAAUGCUUAUCCCUCUCCAGCAAAGAGUCUCUGCUCUGGAAGACAUUAUCUCUUCCUGUUCCCUCUACAAUACCUAACCAUCCUAUUCCUUUCUAUGCAUUUGCGUAUUUUCGUUAUUCACAUUGCAGAUGCAUUCCUCAUUUUUCUCUUCCAGCCACACUAUGCUCAGCUUUCCAUUCCAGCUCAAAUUUUUCUUCCCAAAAGCUCUUCCUUGUAAGCCCCGUUCCUGGUGAGUUCCUGGUCCAAGGGGACUGUUCUCCUCAGUUCAUUUACAGCCGUCACUGAAUUGCUCUGCUAAUACUUUAAAGCGUGUUCAGCUUUCCUCACCUGGCUGGGUACCUGCUGAGGAAGAUGUCCCUUCAAUGUUUGGUUGGAGUCUUUUGAAGCAGAACAGACCUAAGACAAAGCUGUGAAAGAGGGCCCCAAAUUAUACCCAGUAUCUCCUCCUUUUACCACUCAUUCUUCCAGAGUUCUCUCCUACCAUAUGUGCCCACCCAGAAUUUGUCCUUGCAAGGACCCUUCAACGCUCACAGCACAGUCUCAUCUUAGCCUGUUCUCUCAGGAUGCAGGUGCUUACUAGCUGGAAAACCAGUUGAUGCUACUGGGUGUGGACUGGUUUAAACCAGCGGUUCUCAACCCUGGGGCUACACACUGGAAUUCCCUGGGGGUUUUGAAAAAAAUGUGAAUGUACAGAUGUCCCCUAGACCAGCUGAAUCAGGAUCUCCAGGGUGAGGCUGUGGCUACUAUCUGUCUUCCUUUCCCAAGGUAAUGCCAAUAAACUAUUUGCCCAAGCUGGGAAGAGACCAGGGCAGCCACAUGACAGAGUAGUUAAGAGAGAGGUUCUGGAGCAACAUUGUCAGUUCAAUUGCUAGCUCUACCUGUGUCUGUGUGGUCCUGGGCCAGCCUCUGAACUUACCUGUUCCCUCCUCUGUAUGUGGGAAUAAUAUUCAUCAUAGUACCUCCCCAUGGGGCUUCCAGGAACAUCAGUUGAAUUAAUACCCAUCAAGUACUUAACACCACAGUGUGGGCAUAUAGAAAGUGCUCAACAAAGGUUUGCUAUUUUUUUCUUUCUUUUUGAAACAGAGACAGGGUCUUGCUCUGCUUAUCCAGGCAGGAAUGCAAUGGCAUGAACAUAGCUCACUGCAACCUCGAAAUCCUGGGCUCAAGUGAUCCUCCCACCUCAGCCUACUGAGUAACUGGGACUAUAUGCGCGUGGCAUCAUGCUCAGCCAAUUUUUUAAAAUUUUUAGAGGCAGGGUCUUGCUAUGUUGCCCAAGCUGGUCUCGAACUCCUGGAUUUGAACGACCCUCUCAUGUCAGCCUCCCAAAGUGCUGGUAUUACAGGUGUGAGUCGCCAUGCCUAGCCAAGGUUUGCUACUAUUAUUCCUUCUCUCCAACCUUCUCCCUGUAUUCUUUCUGAACUCCCUUUCCCUAUCAAAGCCCCAUUUCAGGCCUGGUGUGGGGAAAUGCAGCACCAGGUGAGCAUGUGUUGGUGGGGAGGAUUUGGGGAGACACAUCCCCACUGCUUACUCUACCUGUGCUGGGAACUGCACAAAGAAUGGGGGUGAAGUGGGUGAGAGGCCAGUUGGGAACCCAAAAGCUGUCCUCUACAAUUCUUUUUGAAGGCUAGGGAGAUCCCACUCCUACUUCAGGCCAUGCAUUGGAACCAAAGUUGAGGUGGGGGAGAGUGGUGGCUGCACAGAUACCAUAGACAAGCCAAGACCUCCCUGCCUCGCCCUGUCCUGGCAUGAAGGCACAGGUCUGUAACUACAGCAGCUUUUCCCAGUACCAUCUGACAUUUCUUCUGAAUUUGCUUUAGCGCCUAGCAGAGCACUCCAUAAACUCUCCUAAAGUAGGUAGGAAGGGUAGGAUGGGGUAUGGGAUAUGAGGGUCAGAGGGUCAGACCAGAAAGGGUGGAUUAUUAUAAAACAAGUAGUCCUAAGAUUCUGAGGAUGGGCAGGUGUACCCUAAAAGGGAAGCAGUGGGAUUCCCAAGUAAAUACUUCAUCUACUUCACAAGUUUGCCCAAGCCCAGCUCAGGAACAGUAACAAAUGGAAAUGAGCAGGGAUGCCGGCUGUGGACAAGCAGACCCCCUAGGUAGAGUCCACCCCACCUUCCCAUUACCACAGGAAUUAUUACCUUACCACCCAUAGGGGAGGGGGUAAUUGUGGGCAAAUUUGAUGGGCCCAGUGGGACAGUCAGAAACAGCCUGCCUAGAGCCCUAAUGUACCCACCCACAUAGCUGUGACAUCCUCAGCCCAGCCAGGCUAGCCCAGGAUAUAUGGUGUGUGUAGCGCACUCUGCUAUUUUCCUCUCCUUGAAUGUCCUUGAGGACCCAGUUCAGGUGCCUCUGCUGGGACACUCCCUGUGACACUACCAGCCUUCUCUGAUCUACUCUUUCUCUUGACUCCUAAGACUUACUGUCAGGCUCUCUGGUCACCUGAUCAAUCCCAGGCUUGUGAUACCUCAUAUGCUACCUUGUACCAUUAUUUAACUUUUAGUUCAUGUGUAUAAUUUUCCUACUGAAGCAGUAGGAGCUUGAGGCCAUGGCUCCUAAAGCUUUGAAACCCAUGCAGCAACUGAAAUAGAGCUCAGCAUUCAUUCAUUCACUCACUCACUCAAUAGUUAUUGAGCACCUCCAACAUGCGAAGCACCGUGCUAGGUGCUGGGGAUUUGGCAGUGAACCAGAGAUGAAUUCUACAUUGAAGCCACUUAGUAAAUAUUUGUUAAACAGAUAGACGAGUGGAUGGAGACAUGGAUGCAUUAGUAGUGAGUGGAUAAUGUCUCUAUCUGUGGCAUCCCUUCUGCUCUAUGUUACCUCAGAGAAAAAUCUCACUUCUUUACUCUCCGUGAUCCCACAACUGUUCUGGAUGGGGGAAGUCCCAGGAAGUUUAGUCUCAAGUGGAGAGUAGGGAGAGAGGAAACUAAAUUCAGAGGGGUAGUACCCACUUAAAGGCAUCCAUAUGAUGAGUGCUGGGGCCAGAAGAGACUGGAACCAAUGAGUCAUAGGGUCUCAGGGUCUUCAGACAUCAUAUGGGGCUGCUACAGGGAUCUUUUCAGAGCAUCCCCUUCAACAGAUGUUCCUCAGCCUCCAUGCUAACUCUCAAUGAUGGGGCACCUGACACAGGCAUUCCACUGCUUGCCCCUGGUGAUUUCCCUCAUUCUCACCUCUAAGUAACAUCCAAAAUAAAACCAGCCCAGCCUUGGGCCAUGAUAUCCUAACCCACAGCAUGUGCACAUGUACCCACAUCUGCAUAUCUGCUCUACCUCCAGAUCAAAAUAGCAACCAGGGAGAUUGGCAGAGCCUGGAGUACCAGGCUGUCUUCCCAGUUUGGGACUGGCUGAGGCACUGUGACUUCAGUGAGAGUCUGGGCCCAUCCUCAGUCUAGAAAAAGCUUAUGCAAGGAUGAGGGUAGCCUAGAGAAAGUCCAGAAAACCACACAAAUGACCACCUGUUGAUUCCAAGGCGGAGACAGAGCACUUUCUCCUUUUAAAAACAGUAUCCUCUCCUCUCACUCAAGCUUAGCCUGCUCAACUGAACAGCCAGGAAAAGCUGCUGGUGUUUGGUGAUUUGAAGGGAAGGGGGUCUGAACCUCAGAAGCUUGUCACUUACUGGGGACCCUGAUGAGUUUCUCUCUGUUGUCCUGCCUUAUCCCUAAUCUAGCUCCCUGAUCAUUUGAAUGUAACCCUAAUUGGACAAGAAUUUUCUCCCUUUCAGUAUGGACAAAAUCAACAACCAUGAAUCAGAGACUUUUAGAGGAUGGGUAGUGAAGUGGGGGAAGAACAGAACAUUGUAGAGUGAGGGGCAGAGAGGCAGGCAGUGGGCAUGGGUAGGUUCUGGUUUUGUGAUUAGUAAUAUUAUCUCUUUAAUUGAAAAAAAUAAACUCAUUUCAGAUUCGUA